RNAcentral lists this transfer RNA (58 nucleotides) under Cordylochernes scorpioides. RNAcentral describes it as "tRNA-Cys". The record is from RNAcentral. Lineage: Eukaryota; Metazoa; Arthropoda; Arachnida; Pseudoscorpiones; Chernetidae.
UCGUGGUCUAGUGGCUAGGAUAUUGACACAGAGGGCCCGGGUUCGAUUCCCGGCAAAA